UACGUAGGUGGCAAGCGUUAUCCGGAAUUAUUGGGCGUAAAGAGCGCGCAGGUGGUUGAUUAAGUCUGAUGUGAAAGCCCACGGCUUAACCGUGGAGGGUCAUUGGAAACUGGUCGACUUGAGUGCAGAAGAGGGAAGUGGAAUUCCAUGUGUAGCGGUGAAAUGCGUAGAGAUAUGGAGGAACACCAGUGGCGAAGGCGGCUUCCUGGCCUGCACCUGACGCUGAGAGGCGAAAGCUAGGGGAGCGAACGGGCUUAGAUACCCG
This 265-nucleotide ribosomal RNA is filed under the name uncultured prokaryote. RNAcentral describes it as "partial 16S ribosomal RNA". It matches the Rfam family "Bacterial small subunit ribosomal RNA", at positions 524 to 789 of the family's 1533-position model. The record is from RNAcentral.